UAUCUGGUUGAUUCUGCCAGUAGUCAUAUGCUUCUCUCAAAGAUAAGCC
Molecule: ribosomal RNA, 49 nt
Filed under: Trichophyton tonsurans
Lineage: Eukaryota; Fungi; Ascomycota; Eurotiomycetes; Onygenales; Arthrodermataceae
Description: partial 18S ribosomal RNA
Source: RNAcentral